UACGUAGGGUGCGAGCGUUAAUCGGAAUUACUGGGCGUAAAGCGUGCGCAGGCGGCGCGUUAAGACAGGUGUGAAAGCCCCGAGCUUAACUUGGGAAUUGCGCUUGUGACUGGCGUGCUGGAGUGUGGCAGAGGGAGGUGGAAUUCCACGUGUAGCAGUGAAAUGCGUAGAUAUCAGGAGGAACACCGAUGGCGAAGGCAGGUCUCUGGGCUGACACUGACGCUCAUGCACGAAAGCGUGGGGAGCAAACAGG
This 253-nucleotide ribosomal RNA is filed under the name uncultured bacterium. RNAcentral's name for it is "partial 16S ribosomal RNA". It matches the Rfam family "Bacterial small subunit ribosomal RNA", at positions 524 to 776 of the family's 1533-position model. The record is from RNAcentral.